UGAGGAAUAUUGCACAAUGGGCGAAAGCCUGAUGCAGCGACGCCGCGUGGAGGAUGAAGGUCUUCGGAUUGUAAACUCCUGUUAAGUGUGAAAAAAGAGCUGUUUUUAAUAGAAACAGCAGAUGAUUGUAACACUAGAGAAAGCACCGGCUAACUUCGUGCCAGCAGCCGCGGUAAUACGAGGGGUGCAAACGUUAUUCGGAAUCACUGGGCGUAAAGGGUACGUAGACGGCAAGAUAAGUCAGUUAUUAAAUUUCCCGGCUUAACCGGGAACUCGUAACUGAAACUGAUUUGCUUGAGGAUGGAAGAGAGAAGCGGAAUUCUCGGAGUAGCGGUUAAAUGCGUAGAUCUCGAGAGGAACACCGAUGGCGAAGGCAGCUUCUUGGUCCAUUUCUGACGUUGAUGUACGAAAGCGUGGGGAGCAAACA
This 427-nucleotide ribosomal RNA is filed under the name uncultured bacterium. Its description in RNAcentral is "partial 16S ribosomal RNA". It matches the Rfam family "Bacterial small subunit ribosomal RNA", at positions 355 to 774 of the family's 1533-position model. The record is from RNAcentral.